Molecule: ribosomal RNA, 497 nt
Filed under: uncultured bacterium
Lineage: Bacteria
Description: partial 16S ribosomal RNA
Rfam family: Bacterial small subunit ribosomal RNA
Source: RNAcentral
GAUGAACGCUGGCGGCGUGCCUAAUACAUGCGAGUCGAGCGAACGGACGAGAAGCUUGCUUCUCUGAUGUUAGCGGCGGACGGGUGAGUAACACGUGGAUAACCUACCUAUAAGACUGGGAUAACUUCGGGAAACCGGAGCUAAUACCGGAUAAUAUUUUGAACCGCAUGGUUCAAAAGUGAAAGACGGUCUUGCUGUCACUUAUAGAUGGAUCCGCGCUGCAUUAGCUAGUUGGUAAGGUAACGGCUUACCAAGGCAACGAUGCAUAGCCGACCUGAGAGGGUGAUCGGCCACACUGGAACUGAGACACGGUCCAGACUCCUACGGGAGGCAGCAGUAGGGAAUCUUCCGCAAUGGGCGAAAGCCUGACGGAGCAACGCCGCGUGAGUGAUGAAGGUCUUCGGAUCGUAAAACUCUGUUAUUAGGGAAGAACAUAUGUGUAAAUAACUGUGCACAUCUUGACGGUACCUAAUCAGAAAGCCACGGCUAACUACGUG